AUCGCUUCGUAAGGCAAAGUUGUUAGACAAAAGUAAGCAAAAGCAAGUUUCAAAUUUUAUUGUAAAAAGUAAAGUAGUGUUUUCUGUUUUUCCCUUAACUUAAUGGCUAGGACUUACGAACGUGUCGCACAAGCGACGUUUAAUCAAUCUUAAAAAAUACUAAGGGACAUAACAUGUCAAAGACUACUGGUACAGUAAAAUGGUUUAACGAAGAAAAAGGUUUCGGUUUCAUUUCUCAAGACAACGGCGGUGCUGACGUAUUCGUUCACUUCCGUGCAAUCGUUUCUGACGGCUUCAAAACUCUUGCUGAAGGCCAAAAAGUAUCUUUCGAAGUUGAACAAGGUCAAAAAGGCCCUCAAGCUUCUAACGUUACUGUAAUCUAAGUAAACCUUUAGAUUAAAAGUUUCUAAAAGCCCGCUGUUUUCAGCGGGCUUUUUUC
This 439-nucleotide small RNA is filed under the name Vibrio ezurae NBRC 102218. RNAcentral describes it as "cspA thermoregulator". It matches the Rfam family "cspA thermoregulator". The record is from Rfam by way of RNAcentral. Lineage: Bacteria; Pseudomonadati; Pseudomonadota; Gammaproteobacteria; Vibrionales; Vibrionaceae.